Molecule: ribosomal RNA, 497 nt
Filed under: uncultured bacterium
Lineage: Bacteria
Description: partial 16S ribosomal RNA
Rfam family: Bacterial small subunit ribosomal RNA
Source: RNAcentral
GAUGAACGCUGGCGGCGUGCCUAAUACAUGCAAGUCGAGCGAACAGACGAGGAGCUUGCUCCUCUGACGUUAGCGGCGGACGGGUGAGUAACACGUGGAUAACCUACCUAUAAGACUGGGAUAACUUCGGGAAACCGGAGCUAAUACCGGAUAAUAUAUUGAACCGCAUGGUUCAAUAGUGAAAGACGGUUUUGCUGUCACUUAUAGAUGGAUCCGCGCCGCAUUAGCUAGUUGGUAAGGUAACGGCUUACCAAGGCAACGAUGCGUAGCCGACCUGAGAGGGUGAUCGGCCACACUGGAACUGGGCCACGGUCCAGACUCCUACGGGAGGCGGCAGUAGGGAAUCUUCCGCAAGGGGCGAAAGCUUGACGGAGCAACGCCGCGUGAGGGAUGAAGGUCUUCGGAUCUUAAAACUCUGUUAUUAGGGAAGAACAAAUGUGUAAGUAACUAUGCACGUCUUGACGGUACCUAAUCAGAAAGCCACGGCUAACUACGUG